GAUACUUGGAUACAGUAACUUCAAGAAAACUGAAGAGUGGGAACAACAUAUGAAUCAAUUGUUGUGCCAAAAUUAUAUAGUCUCACAAAAAUUAGCUUCAAGUUUGCAUAUUAUUAUGGUUUCUGAACUUAUUCACUGUGCCAGAUUAUCUCUUUUGACUUUCAAUCGACUUUGUUAUUUUCUUUCUAAGUUAAGAAUUUGAUGGAGUGUGUUUUUUUUUUGAAAUUGCUGGAACAGGAAUCAAAAGAAGGAAGAAAGAAUCUGAAGUUGAAGAUGACAUUGAAGAAAUCUCUUGCACAUCGGAGGAUACUAAUGGCAGUGAUGAAGAUUGGAGCAC
Molecule: long non-coding RNA, 337 nt
Organism: Hibiscus syriacus
Lineage: Eukaryota; Viridiplantae; Streptophyta; Magnoliopsida; Malvales; Malvaceae
Exons: 3
Source: RefSeq, a predicted model, not a curated record